AGAAAAUUGGUGCAUUGAUCGAAGAGAUUUAAGCAUGUCGUUGAUGAAGGGAGAGCCAUUGGUGAGGAAGAUCGCGCUGAUAGCUAAGUACGCAGUUUUUCCGGGAGCUAUGGCUGCUGCCGUGAUCUACUCUCCUCCCACUUAUGCUUCUUAUUUUAAGCCCCAAUCUUCUGCUUCAAAAUAAACUGGGGAUACCCUUUUGUUUUCCUCAUGGGGUUCUUUUUGACUUGCCGAAUGCUUCUGUUGCAGUAGGCUCUAUUUGUAAUAGACGUGGUAUGUAGUAAUAAUCCAAUGGCAGUUUGUUUCUGUACUCGAACUAUCGACUUUUGAAAAUCGGAAUAGACUCUAGCUCCUUUCUAUAUCAUGCGAAACUUUCUUCCAUCAUAUGUAUCCAAGUUCCUCACAAAGCUUGAAGGACAAGAAAAAAAUGAAAGAGUAACUAAUUCAUAAAUAAAUUUGAAGGUUUUUGUGUAUUGAAUCUUUAGUUGUACAGCUCAAACCAGAACUGGUCCACACG
This 517-nucleotide unclassified non-coding RNA is filed under the name Hevea brasiliensis (rubber tree). The record is from RNAcentral. Lineage: Eukaryota; Viridiplantae; Streptophyta; Magnoliopsida; Malpighiales; Euphorbiaceae.